This 771-nucleotide ribosomal RNA is filed under the name Arthrobacter sp. RNAcentral's name for it is "bacterial SSU rRNA". It matches the Rfam family "Bacterial small subunit ribosomal RNA", at positions 70 to 853 of the family's 1533-position model. Lineage: Bacteria; Bacillati; Actinomycetota; Actinomycetes; Micrococcales; Micrococcaceae. The record is from RNAcentral.
GAACCGGUGCUUGCAUCGGGGAUUAGUGGCGAACGGGUGAGUAACACGUGAGUAACCUGCCCUUGACUCUGGGAUAAGCCUGGGAAACUGGGUCUAAUACCGGAUAUGACCUUCCAUCGCAUGGUGGUUGGUGGAAAGCUUUUGUGGUUUUGGAUGGACUCGCGGCCUAUCAGCUUGUUGGUGGGGUAAUGGCCUACCAAGGCGACGACGGGUAGCCGGCCUGAGAGGGUGACCGGCCACACUGGGACUGAGACACGGCCCAGACUCCUACGGGAGGCAGCAGUGGGGAAUAUUGCACAAUGGGCGCAAGCCUGAUGCAGCGACGCCGCGUGAGGGAUGACGGCCUUCGGGUUGUAAACCUCUUUCAGUAGGGAAGAAGCGAAAGUGACGGUACCUGCAGAAGAAGCGCCGGCUAACUACGUGCCAGCAGCCGCGGUAAUACGUAGGGCGCAAGCGUUAUCCGGAAUUAUUGGGCGUAAAGAGCUCGUAGGCGGUUUGUCGCGUCUGCCGUGAAAGUCCGGGGCUCAACUCCGGAUCUGCGGUGGGUACGGGCAGACUAGAGUGAUGUAGGGGAGACUGGAAUUCCUGGUGUAGCGGUGAAAUGCGCAGAUAUCAGGAGGAACACCGAUGGCGAAGGCAGGUCUCUGGGCAUUAACUGACGCUGAGGAGCGAAAGCAUGGGGAGCGAACAGGAUUAGAUACCCUGGUAGUCCAUGCCGUAAACGUUGGGCACUAGGUGUGGGGGACAUUCCACGUUUUCCGCGCCGUAGCU